Molecule: ribosomal RNA, 429 nt
Filed under: Bacteroidota bacterium
Lineage: Bacteria; Pseudomonadati; Bacteroidota
Description: Bacteroidetes bacterium partial 16S ribosomal RNA
Rfam family: Bacterial small subunit ribosomal RNA
Source: RNAcentral
UAGGGAAUCUUCCGCAAUGGGCGAAAGCCUGACGGAGCAACGCCGCGUGAGUGAUGAAGGUCUUCGGAUCGUAAAACUCUGUUAUUAGGGAAGAACAAAUGUGUAAGUAACUAUGCACAUCUUGACGGUACCUAAUCAGAAAGCCACGGCUAACUACGUGCCAGCAGCCGCGGUAAUACGUAGGUGGCAAGCGUUAUCCGGAAUUAUUGGGCGUAAAGCGCGCGUAGGCGGUUUUUUAAGUCUGAUGUGAAAGCCCACGGCUCAACCGUGGAGGGUCAUUGGAAACUGGAAAACUUGAGUGCAGAAGAGGAAAGUGGAAUUCCGGGUGUAGCGGUGAAAUGCGCAGAGAUAUGGAGGAACACCAGUGGCGAAGGCGACUUUCUGGUCUGUAACUGACGCUGAUGUGCGAAAGCGUGGGGAUCAAACAGG